This 254-nucleotide ribosomal RNA is filed under the name uncultured bacterium. RNAcentral's name for it is "partial 16S ribosomal RNA". It matches the Rfam family "Bacterial small subunit ribosomal RNA", at positions 524 to 776 of the family's 1533-position model. The record is from RNAcentral.
CACGUAGGCACCAAGCGUUGUCCGGAUUUAUUGGGCGUAAAGAGCUCGUAGGCGAUUCGGUAAGUCGGGUGUGAAAACUUUGGGCUUAACCCAAAGCGUGCACUCGAUACUGCCAUGACUAGAGUUCGGUAGGGGAGUGGGGAAUUCCUAGUGUAGCGGUGAAAUGCGCAGAUAUUAGGAGGAACACCGGUGGCGAAGGCGCCACUCUGGGCCGAAACUGACGCUGAGGAGCGAAAGCGUGGGUAGCAAACAGG